UUCCCUACGGGAGGCAGCAGUGAGGAAUAUUGGUCAAUGGGAGGAAUCCUGAACCAGCCAUGCCGCGUGCAGGACGACGGCUCUACGAGUUGUAAACUGCUUUUGUACCGGGGUAAAAUGCCUUACGAGUAGGGUUUUGAAAGUACGGUACGAAUAAGGAUCGGCUAACUCCGUGCCAGCAGCCGCGGUAAUACGGAGGAUCCAAGCGUUAUCCGGAUUUAUUGGGUUUAAAGGGUGCGUAGGCGGUUUUAUAAGUUAGAGGUGAAAUUUCGGGGCUCAACUCCGAAAUUGCCUCUAAUACUGUA
Molecule: ribosomal RNA, 305 nt
Filed under: uncultured bacterium
Lineage: Bacteria
Description: bacterial SSU rRNA
Rfam family: Bacterial small subunit ribosomal RNA
Source: RNAcentral